UUCUUCCUCUCACAACCCUCAGACA
Molecule: microRNA, 25 nt
Filed under: Equus caballus (horse)
Lineage: Eukaryota; Metazoa; Chordata; Mammalia; Perissodactyla; Equidae
Description: eca-miR-9082
Source: miRBase by way of RNAcentral